AACGAACGCUGGCGGCAUGCCUAACACAUGCAAGUCGAACGAGAUCCUUCGGGGUCUAGUGGCGCACGGGUGCGUAACGCGUGGGAAUCUGCCCUUAGGUUCGGAAUAACAGUUAGAAAUGACUGCUAAUACCGGAUGAUGACGUUAAGUCCAAAAAUUUAUCGCCUGAGGAUGAGCCCGCGUAGGAUUAGCUAGUUGGUGUGGUAAAGGCGCACCAAGCCGCCGAUCCUUAGCUGGUCUGAGAGGAUGAUCAGCCACACUGGGACUGAGACACGGCCCAGACUCCUACGGGAGGCAGCAGUGGGGAAUAUUGGACAAUGGGCGCAAGCCUGAUCCAGCAAUGCCGCGUGAGUGAUGAAGGCCUUAGGGUUGUAAAGCUCUUUUACCCGAGAUGAUAAUGACAGUAUCGGGAGAAUAAGCCCCGGCUAACUCCGUG
RNAcentral lists this ribosomal RNA (436 nucleotides) under uncultured bacterium. RNAcentral describes it as "partial 16S ribosomal RNA". It matches the Rfam family "Bacterial small subunit ribosomal RNA", at positions 29 to 507 of the family's 1533-position model. The record is from RNAcentral.